UACGUAGGGGGCAAGCGUUAUUCGGAUUUACUGGGUGUAAAGGGAGCGUAGACGGCAGCGCAAGUCUGGAGUGAAAUGCCGGGGCUCAACCCCGGAACUGCUUUGGAAACUGUGCAGCUAGAGUGCGGGAGAGGUAAGCGGAAUUCCUAGUGUAGCGGUGAAAUGCGUAGAUAUUAGGAGGAACACCAGUGGCGAAAGCGGCUCUCUGGUCUGUAACUGACGCUGAGGUUCGAAAGCGUGGGUAGCAAACAAG
RNAcentral lists this ribosomal RNA (253 nucleotides) under uncultured bacterium. RNAcentral's name for it is "partial 16S ribosomal RNA". It matches the Rfam family "Bacterial small subunit ribosomal RNA", at positions 524 to 776 of the family's 1533-position model. The record is from RNAcentral.